RNAcentral lists this ribosomal RNA (439 nucleotides) under uncultured bacterium. Its description in RNAcentral is "partial 16S ribosomal RNA". It matches the Rfam family "Bacterial small subunit ribosomal RNA", at positions 339 to 795 of the family's 1533-position model. The record is from RNAcentral.
CUACGGGGCGCAGCAGUGGGGAAUCUUAGACAAUGGGCGCAAGCCUGAUCUAGCCAUGCCGCGUGAGUGAUGAAGGCCUUAGGGUCGUAAAGCUCUUUCGCCAGAGAUGAUAAUGACAGUAUCUGGUAAAGAAACCCCGGCUAACUCCGUGCCAGCAGCCGCGGUAAUACGGAGGGGGUUAGCGUUGUUCGGAAUUACUGGGCGUAAAGCGGACGUAGGCGGAUUAGAAAGUUAGGGGUGAAAUCCCGGGGCUCAACCUCGGAACUGCCUCUAAAACUCCUAGUCUAGAGUUCGAGAGAGGUGAGUGGAAUUCCAAGUGUAGAGGUGAAAUUCGUAGAUAUUUGGAGGAACACCAGUGGCGAAGGCGGCUCACUGGCUCGAUACUGACGCUGAGGUGCGAAAGUGUGGGGAGCAAACAGGAUUAGAUACCCUAGUAGUC